This is a long non-coding RNA of Leptinotarsa decemlineata (Colorado potato beetle), 405 nucleotides long. The record is from RefSeq and is a predicted model, not a curated record. Lineage: Eukaryota; Metazoa; Arthropoda; Insecta; Coleoptera; Chrysomelidae.
UAAACCUUCAUUUCUUGUAAACAAUUACGUUUUAUAUACGUUGGCAAUAACAAGCAGAUAGUACUCGUAAGAGUAGGUAGGUACUAACAUAGGUACAGAUUAACAAUGUUCAGCAAUAUUUUCGAAAUUUCCAUUUGAAUCAUGUUAUUCUGUGUAUUCCGAAGCAUCAUCAAUUCAAACACAUAUACCUAUCCAAGAUACCGACGACAAUUUGAUAAGAUAUGCAAAUAUUCAACGCAUAUAACAUUCCAUUAUGAGUAAAGAUAGGUUAGGUGAAUUGUUGAAGGUUAGAAAUAAAAGUGAAGUCAACAUAGAAGUCGAAAAUGUACCGACGACAAACGGAGACGUUAAUUUGAAAAAAACAUUCGAGAGAGCUGAGGUGAUAGGCCAAUGGAUAGAGCGGGU